CUCCCCUUGUGUCAGUCACCAUGGUGGCAGACAGCAAAAAGCUGUGGCGGCGGACCCAUCGUCACUUUUAAACCCAUCAUAAUGAUUUUUUAAAGGUUGCCUUUGUACAUAUAGCCUAUACAUUUAUUAUAAAAAAUGGACAACCGGUUAUUGUCAGGAUAGAUUAGUAGUUUGCUAUUUUAUUUGAAGGCGGAUACAUUGAAUUGUGGCAAAAUCAAGAAUGCUGAAGAUACAUAUAUUUGCUUUUAGCGUCGGCUUAGAUAAAGGAACAGUUUUUCCAUAAUACAACUGUAUAGCGACACGUCUACUGGGAUUUGGAUUCAGGAUUCUUCGAGCCGCACCUUAAUAGCAAGUUUUUUUUGUUGGGAUCGGUGGCAGCCUUUUGAUAUCGGUUUGGGGACAGGAGAAACCCCUAGGCUCACAUUGUGGCCUGGCCAUUGUGGCCUGGGACUGAUACAUUUCCUAUCUUUAGACCACUGGAGUUCUCUUAUUAGUGGAUAACAGACUCCGACUGUGGCUUGGUCUGUGAAUAUCCAGCCCUCGAAUAUUUGCACAUUGUCAACAAUAUAAGCAAUUUAAUUAUUUGAAACUCGUCUUCAAAACAAUGGCGUCUUAUGUCGAUAACAGCUUUCGUCAAGCUGUGAUGAUGAAUCCGGCAGAAAGAACGCAACAGGACCUGGAGAUAGUCUACUCCUAUCUUCACGGGAUGGAGGCCCUUUCUAACCUCAGAGAACACCAGCUGAGGAUAAUAUGUGAGACGGUGCGCUAUGAAAGACAUGAAGCCAAUGAAGUGCUCUACUACCCGGAUGACGUUGGAAGCUGCUGGUUUAUUCUACUGUCCGGGUCCGUCUUCAUCAAGGAGUCCAUGUUCCUGCCAAGAAGCAGUUUUGGAAAGCGUUCUGCGGGGAGCCUGAGACGCGGAUGCGAGUGCAUCGUUCUGGAACCUUKCGAGAUGAUUGUGGUGGACUAUAUGGAUGAAAAUGAGGAGUACUUCCAGCGGCAAGCAUCGCAUCGACAGUCCCGCCGGAGGUUCCGCAAGAUCAACCAGAAGGGCGAGCGGCAGACCAUCAUCGACACGGUGGACCCGUACCCCACCGGCAAGCCGCCCAUAGCCAGGGGAUACCAUACGCUCCCCGCAGACUUCAGCCGACUCCACCUGGCCGACGGCUUGCACCCACAGGUGACCCACGUUUCCUCCAGCCACUCAGGAUGUAGUAUCACCAGCGACUCUGGAAGCAGCAGCCUGUCAGACAUAUAUCAGGCCACGGAGAACGAACCGGGCGACAUGGACCUCAGCGGCCUGCCCGAGACCGCCGUCGACUCAGAGGAGGACGACGACGAGGAGGACAUCGAGCGAGCGUCGGACCCCCUCAUGAGCCGCGACGUUGUGCGGGACUGCCUGGAGAAGGACCCCAUGGACCGCACCGAUGACGACAUAGAGCAAUUACUGGAGUUCAUGCAUCAGCUGCCAGCGUUUGCCAACAUGACUAUGUCUGUGAGGAGGGAGCUGUGUGCCGUCAUGGUGUUUGCCGUGGUCGAGCGGGCCGGCACCAUCGUCCUCAAUGACGGGGAAGAGCUGGACUCGUGGUCAGUGAUCCUGAAUGGCUCGGUGGAGGUGACGUACCCUGAGGGCAGGCCUGAGAUCCUGUGUAUGGGGAACAGCUUUGGGGUCUCCCCCACCAUGGAGAAGGAAUACAUGAAGGGAGUAAUGAAGACCAAGGUGGACGACUGUCAGUUUGUGUGCAUAGCACAGCAGGAUUACUGUUGCAUCCUCAACCAGGUGGAGAAGAACAUGCAGAAGGUGGAGGAGGAGGGCGAGAUCGUCAUGGUCAAGGAGCACCGCGAGCUGGACCGCACCGGCACCCGGAAGGGACACAUCGUCAUCAAGGGUACGACGGAGCGUCUGACCAUGCACUUGGUAGAGGAGCACUCGGUGGUGGACCCCACUUACAUCGAGGACUUCCUGCUGACCUACAGAACCUUCCUCUCCAGCCCCAUGGUCGUGGGCAAGAAGCUCCUCGAGUGGUUCCAUGACCCAAGCCUCAGGGACAAGGUUACACGGGUAGUCUUGCUGUGGGUGAACAAUCACUUCAAUGACUUUGAAGGCGACCCCGCAAUGACUCACUUUCUAGAAGAGUUCGAAAACAAUCUGGAGAGAGAGGUCCGUGUCUCAAAAAUGUGCGGCCAUCUUAGACUGUUAAACAUUGCCUGUGCUGCUAAAGCCAAACUGCGUCUAGUGACACUGACCAAGCCGUCGAGGGAGGCCCCGCUAGCCUUCACCCUGCUGGGGGGCUCUGAGAAGGGCUUCCGCAUCUUCAUCGACAGCGUGGAGCCCGGGAGCAAGGCCGCAGAGGCCGGCCUCAAACGAGGAGACCAGAUUCUGGAGGUGAAUGGGCAGAACUUUGAAAAUGUCCAGCUCACCAAAGCCAAUGAGAUCCUGAGGAACAACACCCACUUGUCCAUUUCUGUGAAAACCAAUCUUUUAGUGUUCAAGGAGCUACUAGCCCGGCCGGAGCACGACCACGAGGCAGAGGGUGAGGAUCCGCCAGAGGUGGAACGCAAGAAUGGAGCCCCGGCACACCUGCCCAAGAUUGGGGACAUCAAGAAGGGCUCGCGCUACUCCAUCCCUGACCUGGCGGUGGACGUUGAGCAGGUGAUGGGCCUUGAGAAGGCCAGUAAGAAGGCCAAAGCCAACACGGUGGGAGGAAGGAACAAGCUCAAGAAGAUCUUCGACAAGACACUCACCAGCAUCCUUCCCCCAAAACCAUACAACGAUGUGGGCGUGGGCCAGUCACAGGACGAUAGCAUCGUGGGCCUGAAGCAGUCCAAACAGAUUCCGGCCUCGCUGCCUGUCAGCAGCAACCUAUCGUCCAGCAACCCUGACCUGCUGCAGUCCCACCACCGCAUCCUGGACUUCAACAACCAACCGGCCCCGGUCGUGACAAACAUGUCUGACCAGGUGCUGCGGGUGUUCAAGGCAGACCAACAGAGUCGAUACAUCAUGAUUGGUAAGGACACCACGGCCAAGGAGGUGGUGGCCCAGGCCAUCCGGGAGUUCGCCCUGACCGCGGUGCCCGAAGCCUAUUCGCUGUGCGAGGUGUCCGUCACGCCUGAGGGUGUCAUCAAGCAACGGCGGCUACCAGAGCAGCUGUCCAAGCUGGCUGAUAGGAUACAGCUCAGUGGCAGAUACUACCUGAAGAGCAACAUGGAGACGGAGACCCUCUGUUCAGACGAGGACGCCCAGGACCUUCUUCGUGAAGGCCAGAUCUCCCUCCUCCAGCUCUCCACUGUGGAAGUAGCCACGCAGCUCUCCAUGCGCGCCUUCGAGCUCUUCUGCGCCAUCGAGCCCACCGAGUACAUCGAUGACCUGUUCAAGCUCAAGUCCAAGACGGGCUCGUUUUGCCUCAAGCGCUUCGAGGAGGUCAUCAACCAAGAGACCUUCUGGGUGGCGUCGGAGGUGAUCCGGGAGCCCAACCAGCUCAAGCGCAUGAAGAUCGUCAAGCACUUCAUCAAGAUUGCUCUCCAUUGUAGAGAGUGCAAGAACUUCAACUCCAUGUUCGCUAUCAUCAGUGGUCUGAACCUGGCGCCGGUAUCUAGACUCCGGGGAACGUGGGAAAAGCUCCCCAGUAAGUACGAGAAGCUGUUUGGGGACCUGCAGGACCUGUUUGACCCGUCCAGGAACAUGGCCAAGUACCGCAACGUGCUCAACAACCAGAACCUCCAGCCACCCAUCAUCCCCCUAUUCCCCGUCAUCAAGAAGGACCUCACCUUCCUGCACGAAGGGAACGACUCAAAAGUGGACGGCCUGGUGAACUUUGAGAAGCUGCGUAUGAUCGCCAAAGAGAUUCGCCACGUGGGUCGCAUGGCCUCCGUCAACAUGGACCCUGCACUCAUGUUCAGAACCAGGAAGAAGAAAUGGAGGAGUUUAGGGUCUCUUAGCCAGGGCAGUGCCAACGCGGCGGUGCUGGACGUCACCCAGACAGGCGGGCACAAGAAGCGGGUGAGGCGCAGCUCCUUCCUGAACGCCAAGAAGCUGUAUGAGGAUGCCCAGAUGGCCCGCAGGGUCAAGCAGUUCCUGUCCAACCUCAGCCUGGAGACCAACGAAGAGGCGCUGCAGACCCUCUCGCUGCAGUGUGAGCCCUCCAUCAACACACUGCCCAAGAAUGCCGGUGGCAGUAAGAGGCCAGACACGUCUCCGGUGGUGUCCAGGGCUGCCAGCCAGCAGAGGGGCCAGCUGCAGAAGGGCAACCAGGCCCUUCAGGUGCCCGCUGUGGCCCUCUACCCCUCCCGCAAGAAAGUGCCAGUCAAGGACCUGCCACCAUUCGGCACGAGUUCCCCUCAGUCGCUGAAGAAGAUCCUAUCGCUGUCGGAGGAGGCCAGCGAGCGUCACAAGCGUCAGACAGAGGACACGGUGUCUAAUGCCUCCCAGCUCUCCUCCCCUCCCACCUCCCCCCAGAGCUCGCCCAGGAAGGGGCUCGGGACACUGAAGGGCCAAAGUGUCCGGAAGGUUACCUUUACCAGUAAACAGACAGCCACAGGCUACCCAAGAACGGGAGACACCUACUCAGACUCGGGUCACAGCGAGAUUUCGUCGCGCUCCAGCCUGGUCAGCAACUCCUCCUUCGACAUGGCCCAGGAGGAGAGGAGGGGGCUCAGGCACUCAGGAGGGGUGGGAGACCCCCACGCUGGAGGGGUGCGUCUGGAGAGGAGGGCUACGACCGACUCUGAUCAGUACAGCCUCGGUUCCUACUCGUCCAUGCAGGACUGCCGGGGCCUGUACCCCUGCGCCAUGGUGCUCUCCUCCCCCAGCUCGGAGGAGUUGACCCAGGACCAAGGGGACCGUGUCUCCCUGGACGCCGCCGAUAGCGGCCGUGGCUCCUGGACCUCCUGCUCCUCGGGCUCCCAUGACAACAUCCAGACCAUGCAGCAGGGACGCAGCUGGGAGACCCUGGCCUUUGGACCGGGGGGUGUUGUCGGCGGGAGCGUUGGUGUCCACCCGCACGGGGGGCCUGAAGCAUUACUAGGGGGCCCCGCUGGACUGUGGGCGUCCCAGGCUAGAGGGAGCUGGGCAUCGGCCUCUUCAUCUUCCUCUGCAGCGUACUGGGGCGAGGACUCGGAGGGUGACACGGGCACGAUUAAACGUCGAGGCGGGAAAGACGUGAACGCUGACCCAGAGACGAGUAGUAUCACGUCCAUGGGGUCUGACGAGGCCAAGCAGCACGGGAGGCCAUCGCCCAUCACCGCUGGCAACAAGGGUCUUAUCAGUGAGUUGACCUCUGAAAUGUUUGUUUGUCUGUUGUGUUGAUGUAAGGGUUAAGCUGUCCUCAUAGGCUAAUGUUAGGGUGUCCAUACCUGUUCCCAAUGUUAGGGUGUCCAUACCUGUUCCCAAUGUUAGGGUGUCCAUACCUGUUCCUAAUGUUAGGGUGUCCAUACCUGUUCCUCAACAAAUUAACAGGUUCCUGAUGAAAGGUCGGGUUUUACAAUGUUCUGAAAAUGCCAAACCCUGCUCACAUGCAUUCAUGCUUUUUACGAUUUGUGUACAUCCAUGGAGAGAAGUGCAUGUCAGCUGAAUUAUGUCCGCAUGUAGAUCUCCAUGCCAACACUUUUUCUGGGAGGUGUGUGUGGCGCAGAUGCGUAAAGUAUUAAUUCCAAUUAACUCCACCAUCUUUCACCCCCCCCCCCCUUCAGCGCGAAAGGAGAGCCGGUACCGCGAGCCCCCUCCAACCCCGCCGGGCUACACUGCCCUGACAAUCUCUGACUUCAGCGAAGGGCAGACGCAGUCGCCGCCCCCGGCCCACUCCGGCCGCCGCCCGCCCGAUUACACCACGGCCUUGCAGCGCUCGCGCAUGGUCACCCAGUCGCCUGACUCCCAUCACCACCACCAGGCCCAACAACAUGCCAAGCGCCAAGGGCUCCACCGCACCCGCUCGCCAGGCGAGGAGGAAGAGCCUGAGGAGGAAGAGGAGGGUGAGUCCUUGUCUCCCAAACUAGUCGCUCUGAGGAAGACAGUGGCACACACAACACCAGAGACAACCAGGCCAUGAGAUGAGUGUACGGGUUACAGGGCAGGUCCCCCUCAGGCUGAGAGGAUGAGCAGGUAUCAGCAGUCUGAGAACGGUCUUCUGCUGGAUGUCCUUUGCAGUGACUUGAAGUCCCUUCCAUGGGGGUGGAACAAGAGAGACUGACUUGAUUGAUUGAUGGACAGACCAAUCCAGUACGUACGUGCCUGCCUGCCUCCUCUUCCGGACUCUCCGUCAUUGGUGGACUCCUCUGCUCGUAUCCCCCCCCCCCGCCUUAAAGCAUCAUGGGGGGUUGAAUGACCCUGCAUGCAAAAAAAGAAAAUACUGUGAAGAAGAAGAUGGAGAGAUGGAAAAAGAAAGACACAAAAUGCCUGGCACUUUGGGGGAAAAAAGAAAAACAAGUCAAACGGUUUUGCUGAAAAAAACACAGCUAGGUGCGGCAACCGCGUACACACACACACACACACACACACACACACACACACACACACACAC
Salvelinus sp. IW2-2015 is the source of this 6515-nucleotide non-coding RNA. NCBI's taxonomy places the organism in Eukaryota, Metazoa, Chordata, Actinopteri, Salmoniformes, Salmonidae. The record is from RefSeq and is a predicted model, not a curated record.